This 955-nucleotide ribosomal RNA is filed under the name Drymelater sp. NLG. RNAcentral's name for it is "SSU rRNA". It matches the Rfam family "Eukaryotic small subunit ribosomal RNA", at positions 32 to 915 of the family's 1831-position model. Lineage: Eukaryota; Metazoa; Arthropoda; Insecta; Coleoptera; Elateridae. The record is from RNAcentral.
UUGUCUCAAAGAUUAAGCCAUGCACGUCUCAGUACAAGCCUAAUUAAGGCGAAACCGCGAAAAGCUCAUAAAUCCAGUUAUGGUUCCUACGAUCGUAAUCACAUUUACUGGAUAAACUGUGGUAAUUCUAGAGCUAAUACAUGCAAACAGAGCUCCGACCGGAGACGGGAGGAGCGCUUUUAUUAGAUCAAAACCAAUAGGCGGCGGUUCGUCUCGCGCGUCCGCCGUCGUUCGCCCUGGGCGAAUCUGAAUAACUUUACGCCGAUCGCACGGUCUCGCACUGCGACGCAUCUUUCAAAUGUCUGCCUUAUCAACUGUCGAUGGUAGGUUCCGUGCCUACCAUGGUCGUAACGGGUAACGGGGAAUCAGGGUUCGAUUCCGGAGAGGGAGCCUGAGAAACGGCUACCACAUCCAAGGAAGGCAGCAGGCGCGCAAAUUACCCACUCCCGGCACGGGGAGGUAGUGACGAAAAAUAACGAUACGGGACUCAUCCGAGGCCCCGUAAUCGGAAUGAGCACACUCUAAACCCUUUAACGAGGAUCAAUUGGAGGGCAAGUCUGGUGCCAGCAGCCGCGGUAAUUCCAGCUCCAAUAGCGUAUAUUAAAGUUGUUGCGGUUAAAAAGCUCGUAGUCGAAUCUGUGUCCCGCGCCGCCGGUUCAUCGCUCGCGGUGUUUAACUGGCGUGUUUACGCGGGACGUCCUGCCGGUGGGCUUAGCCCGCGAGGGCGGCCCAAGUUUUUAUCCCGCCGCGGUGCUCUUCGCUGAGUGUCGAGGCGGGCCGGCACGUUUACUUUGAACAAAUUAAAGUGCUUAAAGCAGGCUAAAACUUCGCCUGAAUACAGUGUGCAUGGAAUAAUGGAAUAGGACCUCGGUUCUAUUUUGUUGGUUUUCGNNNNNCCGAUGUAAUGAUUAAUAGGAACGGAUGGGGGCAUUCGUAUUGCGACGUUAGAGGUGAA